Molecule: ribosomal RNA, 402 nt
Filed under: uncultured bacterium
Lineage: Bacteria
Description: bacterial SSU rRNA
Rfam family: Bacterial small subunit ribosomal RNA
Source: RNAcentral
UCGGGAAUUUUGGGCAAUGGGCGAAAGCCUGACCCAGCAACGCCGCGUGAGGGAUGAAGUAUUUCGGUAUGUAAACCUCGAAAGAAUGGGAAGAAUAAAUGACGGUACCAUUUAUAAGCUCCGGCUAACUACGUGCCAGCAGCCGCGGUAAUACGUAGGGAGCAAGCGUUGUUCGGAUUUACUGGGCGUAAAGGACGCGUAGGCGGCGCGGUAAGUCACUUGUGAAAUCUCUGAGCUUAACUCAGAACGGCCAAGUGAUACUGCUGUGCUAGAGUGCGGAAGAGGCGACCGGAAUUCUGGGUGUAGCGGUGAAAUGCGUAGAUAUCAAGAGGAACACCUGAGGCGAAGGCGGGUUGCUGGGCCGACACUGACGCUGAUGCGCGAAAGCCAGGGGGGCAAACG